AUGGCCCGUCGCUGGAAACUUAUUGAUGAUGCCAAUUCAAGAGCGAUGAGGGCUAUCAACGGUUAUGCCGUGUUCACGGGUUACCUAACCAUGGAUAUCAAGGGCCUAGGUUUUCUCAUACUUACAUGGACCACCGUCGUACUCCUUGGUGGUUUCGUCUCUGCGCUUCAGAACAAAUUUUUUUGGUGUCUCACAUUUAUCACUUUGGUACAAACAGCAGGGGAGGCAUAUGAAGGCAACGGGCAAUUAGGGGAUAUAUCACUAGUUACAUGGUCGAGGCAAAGAUUAGAGAAGAUGCGUACAAUAAACGUACAACAAAGGUCGUUCUACACCGGCAGAAAUGACACUUUGAUGUUUCUUGGAGUAGGUUCAGUCGUUUCGAUGGAGUGUGACCUGGUGCUAUGUUAA
This 408-nucleotide ribosomal RNA is filed under the name Triticum aestivum (bread wheat). RNAcentral's name for it is "partial small subunit ribosomal RNA". The record is from RNAcentral. Lineage: Eukaryota; Viridiplantae; Streptophyta; Magnoliopsida; Poales; Poaceae.